AUGGAAGGGCUCCUUCACUGGGAUUUCAGCCCUGGCCUUGCAGUGGCCGAUCAGGUACGUCGUCGGUCUGGAGAGACGGUGCACUUCUCUCCUUCACGCAAGACCAAGGAGUUUUUCUUGGUUGUCUCCUUUUCUUCAGCCUCUUUCCCCCUCAAUGAGGAAUCUGUGGGUGUGGCUCUACAAUGCUGCAUUGGUGGUCAUCAUCUUGGUUUUAAGGUCUCUGAGAUUUUUGAGAGGUCCUUUCGCUUCUCUGUGGCCGGAAACAAAGUUGGUCAUUGCAUACAUGGCCUCAAGCUCGUAUUUGGCCAGACUUCAUUUGUCACUUUCAUCUGUUCAAUGGUCGUUUCAAUGGUUUUAAGCAUUUGGAUUAUCGUUGGCAUGCGGAUGAAAGAAUAG
This 396-nucleotide ribosomal RNA is filed under the name Triticum aestivum (bread wheat). Its description in RNAcentral is "partial small subunit ribosomal RNA". Lineage: Eukaryota; Viridiplantae; Streptophyta; Magnoliopsida; Poales; Poaceae. The record is from RNAcentral.